RNAcentral lists this ribosomal RNA (253 nucleotides) under uncultured bacterium. RNAcentral describes it as "partial 16S ribosomal RNA". It matches the Rfam family "Bacterial small subunit ribosomal RNA", at positions 524 to 776 of the family's 1533-position model. The record is from RNAcentral.
UACGUAGGGUGCGAGCGUUGUCCGGAAUUAUUGGGCGUAAAGAGCUUGUAGGCGGUCUGUCGCGUCUGCUGUGAAAAUCCGGGGCUCAACCCCGGACUUGCAGUGGGUACGGGCAGACUAGAGUGUGGUAGGGGAGACUGGAAUUCCUGGUGUAGCGGUGGAAUGCGCAGAUAUCAGGAGGAACACCGAUGGCGAAGGCAGAUCUCUGGGCCGUAACUGACGCUGAGGAGCGAAAGCGUGGGGAGCGAACAGG